Non-coding RNA from Trichonephila clavipes, 67 nucleotides. The record is from the annotation of a GenBank genome assembly. NCBI's taxonomy places the organism in Eukaryota, Metazoa, Arthropoda, Arachnida, Araneae, Nephilidae.
GAAGCGCAAUGGAUAGCGUGUUGGACUUUUUAUCCAAAGGCCGUGGCCUCGAAUCCCACCUGGAAUG